CCGCAAGGGAACAGUGAAAUAACAAUGAAAUACUUUAAGCAAAAUAAAGCAGAGCCACAACCUCGUACCUUUUGCAUCAUGGUCUAACUAGUCCAACCAAGCAAAAAGAAUUUUAAGUUUGACCCCCCGAAACUAGGUGAGCUACUCAAAAACAGCCUUUGGGCCAACCCGUCUCUGUUGCAAAAGAGUGGGAAGAUUUUUGAGUAGAGGUGAUAGACCUACCGAACCUAGAGAUAGCUGGUUAUUCAGGAAGAGGAUUUAAGUCCUACCUUAGGUUUUUCUUAUCCCAAAAUACUCCCUCAACCUUAAGAGCUAUUCAAAUAAGGUACAGCCUAUUUGAAACAGGAUACAACCUCGCCGCAGCCACCUUUAAAAAAAGCGUUAAAAGCUUAACUAUCUUUUAUAAAAAUUCCUACAAUCACAUAAAACCCUCAAUUUGUACUGAAUGAUUUCAUACCUGUAUGAAAGCCUAUAUGUUAGAACUAGUAACAAGAAGAAGCCCUUCUCCAAAAUGUAUGUAUAAGCCACAAUGAACAAUUCACUGGCAUUUAAAGUUAAUAAAUCCACAGUAGUAACACACCAAGAAAAAUCUACUAACAACAACGUUAACCUUACACCAGCACAUUAAUGGAAAGAUUAAAAGAGUGGGAAGGAACUCGGCAAAUAAUUAACCUCGCCUGUUUACCAAAAACAUCGCCUCCUGCUUCUUAUAGGAGGUCUAGCCUGCCCAGUGACAAAGUUAAACGGCCGCGGUACCCUAACCGUGCAAAGGUAGCGCAAUCACUUGUUCUUUAAAUGAGGACUAGUAUGAACGGCAUCACGAAGGUUAUACUGUCUCCCCACUUUAUUCAGUGAAACUGAUCUUCCCGUGAAGAAGCGGGAAUUUUUUUAUAAGACGAGAAGACCCCAUGGAGCUUUAAACUCAGCAUCAACUGCCUCUCUGUAAAACCUAGUACAAAAGCAGCCAUGACACCUAGUUUUCGGUUGGGGUGACCACGGAGUAAAGCCUAACCUCCACGACGAAAGGAACUACCCACCUAAGCCAAGAGCUACAGCUCUAAGCAUUAAAAAAUUAACCAAAUUGACCCAAUUUUUUGAUCAACGAACCAAGUUACCCUGGGGAUAACAGCGCAAUCCAUUUCAAGAGCCCCUAUCGACAAAUGGGUUUACGACCUCGAUGUUGGAUCAGGGUAUCCCAGUGGCGCAGCCGCUACUAACGG
RNAcentral lists this ribosomal RNA (1220 nucleotides) under Microhyla fodiens. RNAcentral's name for it is "partial 16S ribosomal RNA". It matches the Rfam family "Bacterial large subunit ribosomal RNA", at positions 501 to 2571 of the family's 2925-position model. Lineage: Eukaryota; Metazoa; Chordata; Amphibia; Anura; Microhylidae. The record is from RNAcentral.